Molecule: long non-coding RNA, 1410 nt
Organism: Cucumis melo (muskmelon)
Lineage: Eukaryota; Viridiplantae; Streptophyta; Magnoliopsida; Cucurbitales; Cucurbitaceae
Exons: 3
Source: RefSeq, a predicted model, not a curated record
GAAGCGUGCAAAGCAUUCAUCAUCUUCUUCCUCAAAGAAACUUUAGGUUCACCUUCAACAAAACCCUAGCCGCCGCCACUCACCUCUGUUGCACGACGCUCGUUUUUGUCAUCUCCCUCCCUUCGAUCGUCAGUCACAGUGAAGGUCGCGCGUUCAGGCGUCGUUUCGUAUCCUCCUUCAUUCCGCCAUCACAAGUGCCCACCUUUGUUCGGCCAUUCUUCAUCUUCUCCAUCUUCCUCUGUUUCGCCGUCACUAUUCGAAGCCCCAUCAACUGCUCUCCUCGAUCGCCGACCAAGUCACCAAACGCUCAAGUCGUCCUCUACGUUCGAGUCGCAUCCAAGCCUCCCUUGCUUUGAAGCUGCAUCCUAGUCGAGUGCCAAUCAAGUCGAUCUCCUCCUCAUUGAACUUAGCGGAGCGCAUCUGCCCUCUUCCUCACUGAGUCCCACGUGCCUGUCUCAAUCACCCAAGUCGUUUUCCUUUAGUCGAGCCGUUAGCCUAGUUUUAGUCAUUCUUCCUCCUAGUUUUGGUUUGGCUAGAUCAAAUUGGAGGUUUUGUGCUAUUGAAUUUCCCCGAUCAAGGACUUGACUGUCAGGAAAGCUUGACCAUGACUAUUAGGAUAAUUUGGUUAAGUUAAUCUCAAGGUAAGAAAUUCUCCUACUAGACUCUCGUACUGAAGUUAAGAGUUUGCAUGUGAUUUUUCUAUUAUGCAUUGGUGUAGCUAAAAUGCAUAAUGUAUUGGAGACGUAUGUUGAUGACUAAUAGUUAUGAUUGAGUUAUGUUGAUGUUGAUGACUGACUUACGUUAAUGAUGAUGCUUGAAUUAUUACUCACAUGAUUAAGAAUGUUAGGAUUAAUAUUCAUGUCAUGAUAUGAUGUUAUGAUGUGCUACGAGAUCAUUAGAUUGCUUGUGUUUCGGGAACGUGCCAAUUUAGGGGUACUUCUUUACAGGACUCUAAUAGGAAGUUAAUAGACAGUCCCUUACUGAGUAUAUGUUUAUACUCACUCUUUCUAUGUUUAUUUUUUAGGCAAAGGUAGAGGUAGCGGUGGAGAAAAGCUAGCGAAUGAUAAGAAGUUACCGCGACUUGUCAUAGGAAAACGUUUUGUUUCCACUUUUAGUUUUUUUUUUCUUUGACUAUUUUUUUUUAAAAGUAGAUAGGGUCCGAAUUAGGAGUUUAUUUUAAACUUGAUUUCUACAUACUUUUAUUUAUUUAAAAUUUUAAUGAGUAUUUCAGGUUUUCAGUUAAAGUUAAUGUUAUUUUCUCAUUUUGUUAAGAAAGAGUUUUUAUUUUCUUUUAAGUAGUAAUAACCCCAAGUACUUAAUAUAAAAAGUUGGGUCUUUACCUUAUGUCUGAUAAAUUUGUAUAAAAAUUAUUAAUUAGUUUAGAUUGUAAUAUAAUCAUAUGGUUUUGCA